UCCCUCUUAAAAAAGGCUCACCCGAAAACAAAUUGGCUUCCUACCGCACCGCCUUCAUGCUGAAAAUGCUGUGAUUUAUAUUUUAUUUGAUUGGCAUCCAUAAUAUAGUUUAGCUAGCUACCUAAAGCUCAGUCGAUACAGUGCUUGUUUUGCUUUGCAGAAAUUUGUGGCUUUUGAUAGCCACUCUACUGCAUAUACUGGCAGAGCUCCUUUCAUUGCCUAGUGUUGCCUAGUGGGAAAAAAUUCCAGAUUACUGUAGCUAACUUAAAUGGGAGCUUUAAACACAUACUCUUUAAGGUCUCUCUUGGAAGCAUUUGAGAGAAGGUAGAUUGGUAGUUAGGUAGUUAGGUAGCUAGCUAGCCUAUCCCUUGAAUGCGAAGGGGAGAACCGAAAGAAGCCAGCUAGCUAUAGCUAGCUAGCUAUAUAUACAUCACACCACCACUACCUAGGCCAUUUGCCAACAAUUUGAUGCUUUGGUCGUAGAAUAAGGAACUCGCAAAUUAAGUUAAUCUUCGAUCAUAAAUAUAAAGAUCCAUAUUAACCUGAAAAAUUACUUUCCAAGAAGCGUGUUGGAUCACUUGCAUCUACAGUCGCCAUUUUGUUUUUAGCCUAACAGGCUGAGACCGAUAGCCAGCGUUAUCAGCUAUCUCCAGAGAUACAGACAUACGGCUGUAUCCGAUAAACAACGCGUCACAGUGCACAACUGUUGCCGAUCUAUAUCGCAUACAGUUAACAGAAACGGGUGGUUCUUUUAUUCGUGUCAAUUUCCUUCCUGUUUCUCCUAUGUAAUAUUUUCCACAAUCUCCACACGUUACUUUAUAUGCAACACCUGAUUCAUUGUCUUGGUUUCCGUUUUUUAAUAUUUUGUUGCUUUUUACAACAUUUUUUAGCGCUUUGUUUUUCGUAUGUGUUAAUUUUACAUUAAAUUUCUUGCAUACUCUGGCGAUUUGUUUGAGAAAAUAGAAAUUCUCUAUAGGGAAAACAAUUUUAUUAAAAGAAAAUUUAAAGAGGCAUUAGCGAUUAAACAACACAAAUCGGAUUUAUUGAACAAAAAAGAUGAAAUAAGACGAUUAUCUGAAAUUUGGGAAAACAUAUUAUAAUUUUAACGACUUUUAUUGUUAAUAAACGAUUUUUAUACAUUUUAUUUUUAUCAAGAGAAUUUUUAACAUUUUGUACAUGCAUGUUGAAAGACGUUUUUAGUUGUGAUCUGAAGAUGCUCUGACAAAGAUCAGGGAGAAAAUUUAUCAAAUUUAAUUUGUUAUUUAUUGCCUUAAACCCAAGAAAUAUUUACUAAUUAAGGAAAUAUAACACUAAGAUUUAUUUAUUUACGCCAUCAUCGGUAUCUACAAACUUGAGAAGCCGCCACUUACACUAGACAGCAGAGGCUGUAGCCAGGAUACCCAGCUCAACCUUCCACAACAUUUCAUAUUAUAAUUUAUGGCUGGCCUAGUUAUUUAAGCUUUCUUUGAUAGAGAAAGAAAAAAUGAUUAUAAGGGUGGUUUGAAUGGACAACGCUGUGUCUCCUGGCCAAAUUUAUGGCUAGAAAGACUGAAAACAUUUGGAGAUGGACAGUCAGUUAGGCGCGUACAAGAGUUAUCUCACCUUCUUUUUUGCCUCCAGCGGUAAGUUAAGGGGCCACCAAUACAUACUGUAUAUUUUACUGUGGUCACUCACAAACAGAGUUGUUUGCCAUGGUAUAGUCAACUGCACAAAACUAAAUUGCUUAAAAAGGAUAGCUAUCAUAACACAGGAACUCACAGUAGAGUACUAAACACAAAGUAUAAUGCUAAGAGUAUAAAAUAUCAAUUGUUAAUAACAGUCUAUGAAGUUUUCUAUAACGGAAGAUCAUUUGAGACUUGAGUAAUCAGCAUGAGAUAGUUUGUUGUGAAAGGUUGCUGAACAUUGUUCCAUGAUUUAAAAAAAUGAACGUCGAGCGAAUGUAGAUUGAAGGUGGUUGUAUAUCUAGGUAGCUUGUGAGUGAAGUGCAGAAAAAUUAUAUUUCGAGCUAAAAAUGGUUCCUUCCUGACCAAUAUAGUAAAUUUCAAAAGGAAUAAUUGAAACAAGAACGUGUUGAAAUUUCAAUAAACACAUUGAAAAUGUGUAUGUACUUUUCAUGAAACAAUCACACAAUGGUGCCAUGGCGAAAAUUUAUCUCAUGAAAUUUGAUUUCAUUUUUCGAAAUUCUUCUUCAAUUCAAUUCAAUCUUGCAAAGUUUCUAUGAUCAAAGUAGGUAAGAUAUAUUCUAUCCUCUGGAUAUAUCUUCUCUAGAGUGGAUCUCAACGAAGAAUUAUCCUACUAGCAAAAUGGGAAAGUUCCUCCGUGAAAAAUUUAAAUAUAACAACAGCUAGCGAAAAGGACAACGACAGCAGAUAAUGAAAGGAGAAUUGAAUUACAUAUUUCUGUGAAGACUCUGAUAAAAAUUUUAAAUGUUGAAAAUUAUAUUGUAUGGUAGUAAAGCUUGCGAGCCAAUACUGUUUAUGUAUAAAAUUGAAGUAGAGGGUUUAAAUUUUACAAUUUUUAAAGUUUUUAAACAUUACAAGGAAUGCUUGAUGCUGAAAUAUUUUGCUCAAUGUGUUUUUAUUUCUAAAUGUAUACAGUAUUAGGAUAUGGUUAUUAGAAUUAGGUAACAUACUAUAUAUUAUUAUCUUAAAAUAUACGUCAAAUCAUUUGCAGAUUUUCUUGGCUUGAUAUUCAAAAACAUUUUGUUUGUUGUUUUGAAUUUUGGAUAGUGAAACAAACUCCAAUACGUUUUUUGUUGAUACAUGUUGUGUCAUCAUGCUUUUUUUUCUACUUUUUCAGAUUUGAAGGAACACAUCAAUUAGCAUUGGAUUUUUUGGCUACAAUGCCGCCAUCACAAAACAGUUCUCAACUAUGGGUAGACUUCAUGAAGUGUCAUCCCAUGGAUGGAAAAUACCGGAAUUGAUGAUUUGAAGGAACACAUCAAUUAGCAUUGGAUUUAUUGGCUACAAUGCCGCCAUCACAAAACAGUUCUCAACUAUGGGUAGACUUCAUGAAGUGUCAUCCCAUGGAUGGAAAAUACCGAAAUUGAUGGUAAGUAGAAUUGUUGUUAAAUUUCUUGACACUUCGUAUAUCACGAUUUUACACUUAUUGUGAAAACAUUCGGAUAGAGGUACUGUAGGGCUUAAAAAAUAGUGGCAACAACGAAAAUGUUGUUACACAAAAUUUUCUCCCAAUAUAUACUACAUCGUAUUUUUUAAAGGAUUGUCGAUGAAAUUUAAAAGAGUUGUUCUGAUUGAAUUAGAGCAUACUCAAAAAGAUAUGUCUAGCUACUUGCUAGAAAUUUCUUUAUAUUAUGGAAUAAUUGAAAAAUGGUCAAUAGCUCCGACUUUUAUGCAAAUGAGUGCUUACCAAUGGCGAAAAGGUUAGUCCUGAAGAGAAGCAUAGACUUCGCGGAAAGGGAACUGUUGGGAGGGUGUCAGGAAUUUAUUGCCAGGGUUUUAUUUCCAUCGAUCAAAACAUAUCUACCAUAGACAAUGAAGAUUAUUUGAGCGACAAAAAAGUGACAGUGCAAGCGAUUUUUCCUUGCUCGGCUCAGACAGUAUUCCGGCAUAAUGUAGCUUUUAUCGUCCGUAUUUAUUAUUUGAACCACCAUAACUUUUUUCCGGGAUUACAUAUUUUUAAGAUUUCGUAUCGUAUCCGAAAGUUUGUUUAAACGGGAUUUUUCCUCUUUCGUUUUCUCCUUCUCCUUCCCACUCACUCCACGCAACAUGUUCUAUUGUUUGUAAUCAAUUUAUGUUAUUAACUUGCGUCAAGUCAUUAAAGUAUGUUUCUGAACUACAAAGGGAAUAAAGAAAUUGAGUUUGUUCCAAAGUCUUUUAGCCCGCAUUCAUUUCAUUCUACUUCAAUCAAGAAAAGAAAAACUAUU
Hydractinia symbiolongicarpus is the source of this 3886-nucleotide long non-coding RNA. RefSeq lists it as uncharacterized. NCBI's taxonomy places the organism in Eukaryota, Metazoa, Cnidaria, Hydrozoa, Anthoathecata, Hydractiniidae. The record is from RefSeq and is a predicted model, not a curated record. The transcript has 3 exons.